Long non-coding RNA from Cyprinus carpio carpio, 1239 nucleotides. The record is from Ensembl. NCBI's taxonomy places the organism in Eukaryota, Metazoa, Chordata, Actinopteri, Cypriniformes, Cyprinidae.
AUGUCACGGGUGACAAAAACGCUCAGCAAGCGGAACCCUCUUGACGAGUCACGAGUUUCCCGAGGGAACGAUUUGUGUGCGACACAUCCCACUCCGGUUCCGGGUGCGGCAGAAACAUUGUCCGGCCUGAUUAGCGCUAAUGCACUGCAGGUUCGAGAGAGAGAGAGGAGCGGUGUGCACAUAGGCUUCCUGCUUUACAAGCAAAGGAUAAAAGGGCUAUUCAGAGGAGUUUCGGCGCGGUGGGUCUUUGUGGAGCAGUUUUGGGCACAAGCUUGCCCAGGGAAGUUAUUUGGGCGUGAAGGUUUCCUGUUGAAGUCUCCGGGGAAAAGGUUUUUCUAUUGAAGUCUGCUGGAACAGAGUUCGUCUGUGGGAAUCUGCUGGACUGAUUUAUCGAUUGGAUCUGCGCUGUGAAGGGAGAGAGAAAGAUAAGUGAAUUGAUUUCAUCUUACAAACAUUCGAAAAGCUUGAAGAGGAUACAGUGAAUGUAAAUCUGACUGUUGGGGAAGCUAUGUGUUUCAGAGUGUGCUGAAGAGGAAUUGAGGAUUGAAUAUCCCCCACGGGAGUGUAACGAAUGGAUUGAGACCUCUGAUCAGCCUUACCGUACCGUCUGAGUCUGGAAGUACGCAGCAUCGCUGAGGAAGUAAGCUUUUAAAUUAUUCUUUCUAAUGUGCCCCGGCGAAAGUAUUCUGUACUGCGAGGGAUGCUUACCUGUCUACUCACCGUCGGAGUCCCGAAGGAUGCAGUAUUUCUGCCCUAGGAAGGAACAUAUUGCUGUGGGGAAAUUCUUGCCUUCUUACUUACCGUCUGAGUCUGGAAGUAUGCAGCAUUGCUGAGGAAGCAAGCUUUUAAAUUACUCUUUCUCUAAUGUGCCCUGACGAAAGUAUUCUGUACUGCGAAGAACCCUGACCUGUCUACUCACCGACGGAGUCCUGAAGAAUGCAGCAUUGUUGGUGAAACUCACUGCCCGAGUCUUGAAGAGAGCCGCCCUAUUGGUGAAGUCGCCGUCAGGGCGAAACUGCGACGUACGAUCAGUACCUAUCCGUAGCUGAAGAAGACCUAGAGGACACUGAAGUCUAUCACGCUUGUGCUCACUGAUAUAUUGUGCUCAAUAAAGAUUGUUAUUCCUUUGAAGUUACCUCUUGUCUGCGUUGUCCAUCUGUUGCGGACCUGUGGUGUCGGCUCCUCACGGUGGGGUCUAAGUAAGGGGUGGCUGGUCAUCCGAGUCCACCCCGGUGACAU